CCAUCCGCCUCAAGCAACAAUCCCUCGCA
RNAcentral lists this ribosomal RNA (29 nucleotides) under Tacca parkeri. Its description in RNAcentral is "partial 26S ribosomal RNA". Lineage: Eukaryota; Viridiplantae; Streptophyta; Magnoliopsida; Dioscoreales; Taccaceae. The record is from RNAcentral.